This 667-nucleotide ribosomal RNA is filed under the name Escherichia coli. RNAcentral's name for it is "bacterial SSU rRNA". It matches the Rfam family "Bacterial small subunit ribosomal RNA", at positions 866 to 1533 of the family's 1533-position model. RNAcentral also lists the same sequence under 1 other name. Lineage: Bacteria; Pseudomonadati; Pseudomonadota; Gammaproteobacteria; Enterobacterales; Enterobacteriaceae. The record is from RNAcentral.
CGACCGCCUGGGGAGUACGGCCGCAAGGUUAAAACUCAAAUGAAUUGACGGGGGCCCGCACAAGCGGUGGAGCAUGUGGUUUAAUUCGAUGCAACGCGAAGAACCUUACCUGGUCUUGACAUCCACGGAAGUUUUCAGAGAUGAGAAUGUGCCUUCGGGAACCGUGAGACAGGUGCUGCAUGGCUGUCGUCAGCUCGUGUUGUGAAAUGUUGGGUUAAGUCCCGCAACGAGCGCAACCCUUAUCCUUUGUUGCCAGCGGUCCGGCCGGGAACUCAAAGGAGACUGCCAGUGAUAAACUGGAGGAAGGUGGGGAUGACGUCAAGUCAUCAUGGCCCUUACGACCAGGGCUACACACGUGCUACAAUGGCGCAUACAAAGAGAAGCGACCUCGCGAGAGCAAGCGGACCUCAUAAAGUGCGUCGUAGUCCGGAUUGGAGUCUGCAACUCGACUCCAUGAAGUCGGAAUCGCUAGUAAUCGUGGAUCAGAAUGCCACGGUGAAUACGUUCCCGGGCCUUGUACACACCGCCCGUCACACCAUGGGAGUGGGUUGCAAAAGAAGUAGGUAGCUUAACCUUCGGGAGGGCGCUUACCACUUUGUGAUUCAUGACUGGGGUGAAGUCGUAACAAGGUAACCGUAGGGGAACCUGCGGUUGGAUCACCUCCUUA